GGGGGGGGGGGGGGGGGGGGGGGGGGGGGGGGGGGGGGGGGGGGGGGGGGGGGGGGGCGGGGGGGGAGCGGGGGGGGACGGGGGAGGGAGACGGGGGCAACCGGCCCCGGGCGCUGGAAUAGGCGCUGGGGACGGCGUCUAAUACUGGAGACGAGAAGGUGCCGCGUGGGCACGUUCUGGAAGGUUUGGCGGUUGGGGAUGGGCUCGCGGCCUAUCAGCUUGUUGGUGAGGUAAUGGCUCACCAAGGAGACGACGGGUAGCCGGCCUGAGAGGGCGACCGGCCACACUGGGACUGAGACACGGCCCAGACUCCUACGCUAGGCAGCAGUGGGGAAUAUUGCACAAUGGGCGAAAGCCUGAUGCAGCGACGCCGCGUGAGGGAUGACGGCCUUCGGGUUGUAAACCUCUUUCAGCAGUGAAGAAGCGAAAGUGACGGUCCCUGCAGAAGAAGCACCGGCUAACUACCUG
RNAcentral lists this ribosomal RNA (468 nucleotides) under uncultured bacterium. Its description in RNAcentral is "partial 16S ribosomal RNA". The stretch from base 57 to 468 matches the Rfam family "Bacterial small subunit ribosomal RNA", at positions 39 to 507 of the family's 1533-position model. The record is from RNAcentral.